UUUGUUGACAAACAGCACAUAAAUUAAAACUGGCCAGGAUCGAUACAGAGAAGAUUAGAAUAGUUCCUGUGAAAGGAUAACAUGCAAGUCCAUGAAACGUUUCUCACUUUA
Small nuclear RNA from Tachysurus fulvidraco (yellow catfish), 111 nucleotides. Lineage: Eukaryota; Metazoa; Chordata; Actinopteri; Siluriformes; Bagridae. The record is from RefSeq and is a predicted model, not a curated record.